Molecule: ribosomal RNA, 288 nt
Filed under: uncultured Actinomycetales bacterium
Lineage: Bacteria; Bacillati; Actinomycetota; Actinomycetes; Actinomycetales
Description: partial 16S ribosomal RNA
Rfam family: Bacterial small subunit ribosomal RNA
Source: RNAcentral
UACGUAGGGUGCGAGCGUUGUCCGGAAUUACUGGGCGUAAAGAGCUUGUAGGUGGUUUGUCGCGUCGUCUGUGAAAUUCCGGGGCUUAACUCCGGGCGUGCAGGCGAUACGGGCAUAACUUGAGUACUGUAGGGGAGACUGGAAUUCCUGGUGUAGCGGUGAAAUGCGCAGAUAUCAGGAGGAACACCGGUGGCGAAGGCGGGUCUCUGGGCAGUAACUGACGCUGAGGAGCGAAAGCAUGGGGAGCGAACAGGAUUAGAUACCCUGGUAGUCAAGGGCGAAUUCGUU